Long non-coding RNA from Ailuropoda melanoleuca (giant panda), 2829 nucleotides. RefSeq lists it as uncharacterized. The record is from RefSeq and is a predicted model, not a curated record. The transcript is spliced from 9 exons. NCBI's taxonomy places the organism in Eukaryota, Metazoa, Chordata, Mammalia, Carnivora, Ursidae.
GCGAUCUCGAGGAAUACGAGAGGGGCCGUUUAGAGUAGAAGGAGUCCGAAGACCCAGGCGACGCCCGUUGUUCCACGAAAGGAGCGGGGGCUGGCUUACGGCGGACCCCGCAUCCACCGGAUUGCCGGGAUUUUAUUUUUAAGUGAUCUCUACAUCCAAAGUGGGGCUCGAACUUACAACCCCUAGAUCAAGAGUUGCAUGCUCCAUGGACUGAGUCAGCCAGGUGCCUCUGGUAAUGAUAAUUUUAAAGCGAAGAUGUAAAGAAUACAAAAGAAGUCAAGGGAAGAUGGAAUAAGAAAACUGAAAAUGAUGGAAAUGUAAAAUAGAGAAAAUUAAGUGGAAGUAGAGAAAAAAUUUCCUUCUGAGAAGAGCUCAUUGGGAAACAAGAAUGAAAAAGAUACAGUGUUUGCCCUUACGGAGUCUACAUUAUAAUAUGGAGACAAAACAUUUACUCAUAAUGAGGGCGGUUCGUGUCUCUAGUUCUAUUCUUGGAUGUGAAGAGCUGGAAAUUUGGGUGUGCACUGCCUUGUCAAGCCAGAAGGCGCAUGAAUUGGAACAGGGCUGUAACAACAACUUUGACCGUGCUCUGACUUUUGACUGAAGAGAUAUUGGGCCUGUUCCCAGAUUUUAGGCCUGGAAUAUCCUCGCACUGCAAAGUAAAGCCAGAGUGUGACGCUGCUUCUCUCUCACCGCACCUGUGAAAUCCUCUUCCUUCCACAUUAUUGGCUUACAAAUCUGUCUCUGUCCCAGAUUAUAAACUGUUGGUGGACAAACAAUGGUUGCUUCUCCAUCUUCAUAUUCCCAGAGUGGGGCACAAAAUACUUGACUUUCUUGCCUCUGUUGCACUUGGAAAGAAGUGUCCCUGUGACUAGUUUUGGCCAAAAACAGAUAGAGGAAGUGUGCCGAGGCACUUCUGAAUUUCAGUGUUUACACACCUGUCCAGAAGCCCAGACACUGAGCAGUGUGAGUUUCUCUUCAUUUACCCUCUCUACAACACCGCUGCAUUUCAAGUCACAUCUCCUAAAUGCAUGCCAGAACUUCCAAGUUUGCAACGUUCCUGGUUGACAGUGACUACUUGGAUUGCAGCAGUAAAGCCACGAUGGACCAGAAAAUCCUGUUGCAUUCCACAUUUAGCAUGUGGUGCUCAUUCUGAGUUUUACACAUUUGAGGUGGAGGGGGGUGCCGCCUGCAUGUGCAGGGGGGAAGUAGGAGAAACACAUCACAAAGGGCUUUGCCAAGAUCCUCCAAGAAAGGUGCCUUUGGGAGGUGAUGAGGAAUAGGAUUAGUGCCUUUACAAGAAGAGAGGAGCGAAAGCAUGCUUCCUCCCUGCCCUCUGCCACGUGAGCGCACAGCAAGAAGACAGCCAUCUGCAAACCAGGAAGCAGGCCCUCACCAGACACUGCAUCCCCCAGUGCCUUGAUCUGGGACUUCCAGCCUCCGGAAUCGGAAUCGUGAGAAAGGAAGAGUCAACUGUCCCAAAAGAGACUGCUUUUCUAAUGACAGAAGCACUUUCUAAUGACUUCUAAUGAUAGAAGCAUCUUCAAGCAUUUGGGACAUAGGCGUACUGCUCUGUUGGUAAAACCGUGCCUGAAAUUGUGUCAGAAAAUGCCGACACAUUUGUCGCUCAGUGGGAUUCUACUGGAAAGGUAAAUGCAAUCCCAAGACUGUCUAGUUUAAGAAGAAGGAACAUACUAAGCAUUAUCCACAAUGGACAGAAAAUGGACACAAGGAAGGUGGGGAAGAAGGUGGAGAAGAAAGGGAUGGGAGGAAGGGAAGGAAGGCCUCCCAGAAGGAAGGCCACAGAGAAUAAGAGCGGCUUGUAGAGGUGAGUGGCCAAAUCCACGGAAUGGCGAGCUAAGCAGAGCAGGAGAGAAAGCCAAACGUGGAGUCUCCAGUUCCACCAACUGGCUUUGAGACUUCAGGCAAGCCCCACUCACUCUGCCUGCCCCUCGGUUUCCCUACUUGUCAAGGAGGCAUGAGAACAACCCCCCUUCCCCCAGGACUGGGAGGACAACAGGACAAAUAGCAUAAGAAUGCUUUGGGCUGUAAAGAGCAGGGACAAAGCGACACCCAGUCUUACUGGUGAAGGGAUUUGGCCUCUCCUGGUGCUGUCUGUUGUUCCAAUCCCCUUCACCAGUAAGUAUGCAUAGCUUUCUCACUGGGCCCUUGAACAGUAGGAAACUAACAUAAGACUCUUCAAAGUUUGCCAAACAGCAUGGCCUGAAAUGUAUCUCUAGCAAUUAUCAGGGGGUAGAUAGCCUUAAAAGGUCUUAUGAUGUAUUUCCCUCUUGUGAUAAAACUCUAAUUCAUUCUAUGUUGCAUAUUCAAGGACAAAAUGGAGCUUGGCCGGCCCCACGCUUGUUUAAGGGACAGCGAUGUUCCUGAGAUUAGUUACAUUCACCUUUCGUCGGGAUGAGCUGAGGCAGAAGCCAGCCGCCUGGCGCUGCUCACCGCCUAGUUCGGGUAAGACUGCACAAAAUGUUUUCUGGAUUCAGCCCAUUCCGUGAAACCCUAUAGGUCUUUGAUUGCUAUAGAUGAAACCAGUUAGGUUGAAAGAUGUUUAUGUACAUUUAUGAUUAUUUUUUGGAAGUCGGGGGCAUUGGCGAUGCUGUAGGUGUAAUUCAUGAGUCAGACAGGAAGGGUAUUUAAGAUUGAACUUUUUAAAAAACCUUUAUUGGCAUUUAUUUCAUGCUGAAAUUACUCCUGGGUCAUAAGUUUUUGUUAUUCCAGUUUUUUCUGGGAUAUCUUUUUCUUCAGCGCAACAGUCUAUCUGCUCUUUUUCAGUAAGGAUCAUCUCAGUGUGGCCGGAGGACUUCAUACAGGGGUUAA